Non-coding RNA from Schistosoma mattheei, 46 nucleotides. NCBI's taxonomy places the organism in Eukaryota, Metazoa, Platyhelminthes, Trematoda, Strigeidida, Schistosomatidae. The record is from Rfam.
CCACUGCUGAGGAGUCCCACAAUAGGACGAAACGGUCCUCCAGUGC